This 645-nucleotide ribosomal RNA is filed under the name Periclimenes yucatanicus. RNAcentral's name for it is "bacterial SSU rRNA". It matches the Rfam family "Eukaryotic small subunit ribosomal RNA", at positions 1176 to 1804 of the family's 1831-position model. The record is from RNAcentral. Lineage: Eukaryota; Metazoa; Arthropoda; Malacostraca; Decapoda; Palaemonidae.
GUGGAGCCUGCGGCUUAAUUUGACUCAACACGGGAAACCUCACCAGGCCCGGACACCAGAAGGAUUGACAGAUUAAGAGCUCUUUCUCGAUUUGGUGGGUGGUGGUGCAUGGCCGUUCUUAGUUGGUGGAGUGAUUUGUCUGGUUAAUUCCGGUAACGAACGAGACUCUGGCCUACUAAAUAGUCGACGGGCGUUUUGGUGCAUGGGCCCCGUUCGACAAUGUCUUCUUAGAGGGAUGAGCAGCGAGUAUAGCUGCAGGAGAUUGAGCAAUAACAGGUCUGUGAUGCCCUUAGAUGUCCUGGGCCGCACGCGCGCUACACUGAAUGGGUUAGCGGGUCUUCCUUCUCCGAGAGGAGCGGGAAAUCGCGUGAAAACCAUUCGUGAUAGGGACCGGGGCUUGCAAUUGUUCCCCGCAAACGAGGAAUUCCCAGUAAGCGCAAGUCAUCAGCUUGCGUUGAUUAAGUCCCUGCCCUUUGUACACACCGCCCGUCGCUACUACCGAUUGAAUGAUUUAGUGAGGCCUUCGGACUGGCGGUCCUGGACUGGGUUGUCAGUGCUUUCGGGUACUGGCGAGCCGCCUCGACGAGCCGGAAAGAUGUCCAAACUUGAUCAUUUAGAGGAAGUAAAAGUCGUAACAAGGUUUCC